UAGGGAAUCUUCCACAAUGGACGCAAGUCUGAUGGAGCAACGCCGCGUGAGUGAAGAAGGUUUUCGGAUCGUAAAGCUCUGUUGUUGGUGAAGAAGGAUAGAGGUAGUAACUGGCCUUUAUUUGACGGUAAUCAACCAGAAAGUCACGGCUAACUACGUGCCAGCAGCCGCGGUAAUACGUAGGUGGCAAGCGUUGUCCGGAUUUAUUGGGCGUAAAGCGAGCGCAGGCGGAAGAAUAAGUCUGAUGUGAAAGCCCUCGGCUUAACCGAGGAACUGUAUCGGAAACUGUUUUUCUUGAGUGCAGAAGAGGAGAGUGGAAGUCCAUGUGUAGCGGUGGAAUGCGUAGAUAUAUGGAAGAACACCAGUGGCGAAGGCGACUCUCUGGUCUGCAACUGACGCUGAGGCUCGAAAGCAUGGGUAGCGAACAGG
Molecule: ribosomal RNA, 429 nt
Filed under: bacterium
Lineage: Bacteria
Description: partial 16S ribosomal RNA
Rfam family: Bacterial small subunit ribosomal RNA
Source: RNAcentral